UAAUGUUACUAUUUUAGGUGCUAGUUGAAUGUUUUACAAAACUAAAGCAAUUUGAAAAAUAAAAUUUAAAGAUUAAACAAAAAUAAAAAAGUAGAAAACCUAAACUACUGGGCGCUUAGGCCCAUGUGGCUGGGGAGGCCUAGCCCAGCCGCCCUCCUCCCACCUCCUGUUCACAGGAGGGCGUGGAGGCCAUCCAUGGUGCCCCGGCCAGGUGCCGGCCAUCCACUCCUCCCCCUCGACUACAAGACCCCCUUCGCCACUCUCCCUCGACCCCGCGACCCCGGUCAAACCCUAGCCACUACCCCCCUCUCCCCCUCGCUCUCCUCCCCGAUCUGGAGAGGCACCCGACGCGGUCGUCGUCGUCGCCGCGUCGAUCCCGCGGCCACCGACCGCCUCUCGUCUCACUGAUGUGUCCAGCAGCUCCGCUAGCAACCGCUACGUCCUCCUCGACCACGAGCUCAAGCCGGGCCCCCCUACAUCAUCGGGAUCGAGCUCCGUUUACCUCGGACCACUGCCGGUGAUCCCCGACGAUUCCGGCGCCUCCCAGACUCCUCCCAGAGCCCGCUUGUGCUCAACUACAGGGCCUCCAUGCUGACAAUGAAUAAGGACAAAGCUUUUGGAGUUGUCUUCAAGACAUUCAAGAGGGAAUGCAGGUGAAGUACAGGACUUGGCACUUUGAUUUGGCAUUGGAAGAUUUGAAGAUGGUCGUUUGGAGGCUUGGAGAUGUGAAAGAUGCCAUGAUGAUUCCAACUUUAAAGUGAUUUGUGAACUAUAAGUUCUAUUUCAGAACUUAUAUAGCUGUUGAACCAUCUA
Molecule: long non-coding RNA, 813 nt
Organism: Triticum aestivum (bread wheat)
Lineage: Eukaryota; Viridiplantae; Streptophyta; Magnoliopsida; Poales; Poaceae
Exons: 3
Source: RefSeq, a predicted model, not a curated record